Coturnix japonica (Japanese quail) is the source of this 8273-nucleotide non-coding RNA. NCBI's taxonomy places the organism in Eukaryota, Metazoa, Chordata, Aves, Galliformes, Phasianidae. The record is from RefSeq and is a predicted model, not a curated record.
UUUUCUGCAUGGAGGAAUUCAUAUGCACUUCUAUGUCAGACACCAUUUUGUCAGACUGCCCUUUUGCUGCCAUCUGUCACACAGCAACAGGAUGUAAUGUAAUAAUUAAUCUAUGUAACUGUCACCCACAUAUGAAAUUAUAACCAUAUAUAGCCCAUUAUAACUGUGUAGCUAAAUAUGCCAAUACAUACACAUACACUUGAUUAUUUUUGUAUAAACUCUACUAUUAGCCUAAUUAACUGCUCUAACCUGAUAAAUACAGAAGUGUUUCCAGAGUCUUCAGGUGGUUGCAGGUCUGGCUUGAACUUUUUAGAAGCUAACUUCUUCCUUUUCAAAGCUCUUGGGUGUUAUGUUGAGUCUGUGCAGACCUGACUGUAGAGCCAGUGUUUUCCACUGGCUCCUUUUCUUCUCAGAAUGCUCAGGGAUUAUGGUAACUUCCACAUCUGAACAAGCAAAGCAUUACUUAAUAAAAACCCACACUUCACUGUUUGUUCACCCCUCUGCAUUACAGCCAGAAAAAGGAAUCUUCUCAUGCCUGCAGAUGGACUUAGUAGCAGAGCAUUGAACAGUUGCCAGAUCUUUUGAGUCACAACCCAACUAAAUUGCUACUUUGGCAAUUUAGCUCAAUGCAAAAACCAUUCAGCACUGCUGAUAAGUUUGUUGAAGAACGUUUGGAAGCAAAAGGUAAUAUUUGCAAAAAUUAAGUGUAUUUCCAAGGUUACAUUCCCCACCACAUCAGCAGGAAAGGCAAAGCAAGCAUGUUACUGUUAUCUCUUUAAGAAGCCAGAUACCCCACACCUCCCUAGCUUCUGAUAGCAGGUCAUAACCAGUGGUUCCUGGGUGCUAUAUCCCAGCAAUAGCACACCACAUGCACCACAGCAUCUUGGAGGCACUGAGAUACAGUGAAGUUAGCUGCAGCACAUGACAGAGAGACAACUCUAGAAGUAGCGCCAGGGAGAUCUCAUUGCAGCCUUCCAGUAUUUAAAGGGAGCUUACAGACAGGAGGGAGAGUGGCUUUUUCCGUGGUCUGGUAGCGAUAGGACAAGCAGGAAUUACUCUAAACUAAAAGAGGGGAGUUUAGUUUAGAGUAAACUCAGUUUAGCUGUUAAGAAGAGAUUCUUUACUCAGAGGUGGUGCGAUACUGGAACAGGGUGCCCAGAGAAGCUGUGGAUGCCCCAUCACUGGAAGCACUCCAGAACAGACUGGAUGGGGCCCUGGGCCUGUGUCAGUGGGUAGACACCCCGAGCAUGGCAGGAUGCUGGACCUGGGUGUUCUUCUGUGUUCGUUCCAACCUAAGCUAUUCUGUGAUUCCAUGAUUCUUGGAUUCUAUGGACAGAGCAAAGAAUAGUUAGGCUCGGAAGAAAGAGAAGCUAAUAGCAGUUACCUACCUUCAUCCAUCAUAUACGAAGAAUUCUUGGUUCCAGACUGAAAUUAUACUGAACAGCAAAUUAAAAGUCUUGUUGCUGUUGAUGAUAGGAUUUACAUACAGCAGAGAUGUGCUACGUGAGUUACAAGGACAAAGGAAACACACCUAGAGCAGAGCAGUGUUGAGAUCUGCAAGCAUGCCAUGGACCACAAGUUCCGCAAGGUUCCACAAGUCACACCUUCAGUGAGGCAGUAGUGGUCCAGCAGGCCCAGAGCAGAUGCUCUGGCUUGUGGGGUCUAUUUCCAUCAGACAAGGAAAAAGUCUGCCAGGAUUGCUGUGAUCUCGCUAACUACUGAAAAAUCAGAUGGGGCAGAAAGCAGAACUUUUUAAAAUACUUCAAACAGGAACUGACCUUAUUCCUAUUGGGCUUGCCCCAACUGUUCUGUAGUGCCAUUAAGGUGGGGUUCUCCCAGAACAGCAGUUCUCUUUCCAUGCAAUAUCUGCAGGUAAAUUAGGCAAUGUGUAAGGUAGUUCCUGAAUUCCUUGGUUGUAGUAUAAGAACAACAUCAUUUCACAGUUUUUUUUUUGCAGUCUGCCAAAGCAUUUUAGCCCUAUGGAUAAAGGUACUUUGCUCUAGCCCAAACUCAGACUUCUCGAAGUUCAAGGAGACUAUACUGGUUCUACUAAUGACAAAGUGAAGUAGAGAUUUUUCAAUUGCACAUGUAAACAAUUAACAAGGUUUCUAAUAAAGGUUCAGUGGGAGUCAUGUGGUUGUUUUAGAGUCACAUCUGAAUUAUGUCUUUGUGUAACGUAAUCUGUCAAGUGCCCUUGGGCAGGAAGCCAUUGUAAGCAAGCUGACUAGUUGUUUACCUUGUUCCUUUAUCAAAAUGCCUUACCUAAGUAACCAAUUCUUCAUUUACCUGCAAGAUCUGUAAAGAAAUACAAAAUUGGCUACAGGAAUAAAUAGACUUGUUAAUCAUCCUGGUGGAAUGAAUAAAUUCCCAGUUAAUAACUUUCCCAAUUAAAUCAGCCUAUGUGUCUGCUUCCAGACUAUCCAUAAGCAGACCACAAUUACCUCUCAUUUACCCUUUAUUUGCAUUUUCCCACUGAGUGUGUUGCAAUGUUCUGUAUAUAUACCUGCUCCCCUGGCACCAUCCUGCAAACAGCACUCCUGUAAGUACUUCUUUCUCCUGAAGUCUCUCCCCCUCUCCUGUCAGCAGCACUCCCCUUUGCACCCUGAAGUCCUUCAGUCUCCCUUUCUGUGCUACUUCAGCUAUUUUAAAAGGAGCUUACAGAAGCGAGCUGCUGCUGGCUGCAGGGCAUUUUUCCCUCCUCUGACUCUCUGGUCCAUAGUGAGAGCACAGAAGAGUCUGAAGUAGCUCUGAAGCAGCUGCAAUGAAGAAUUAUAGCACUGUAGAAAGUUUCUGCACAGGCUUCUUGCUCAAGGAAACUUAUCUAUUAGUGAGCUCUGUUCCAGCAGGUGAGGCCCUAGUAGUCAGCAUCCCCCUUUUCCUUCUGUAUAUACUCAGAUGCUUGUCUGGAGGAUACACCUCAUUUAGAAGGAUGCCAUUUGAAUUUUCCUGACUGAUUUGCCCUACAAUAUGAUAUCCACAGGCAAAUACCCAGUCCCAGACAGACCUCUACAACUGUCAGUCUGUGCAGCUGUGUCCCCUCAUGCACAUAGAUCUGCAGGGCCACCACCAUGUUAUAUGGCAGCAAAUACUUCUGGAAGCAUUUUUCCUUCAUUUUCCCCAAGUUUUAGUUGAAUCCAUUAAAAAUUUUCCAUCUGCAUGUUACAGAUUGCUCUGGAAUUUUCUGUCAUCACUCCUGUCAUCAACUCAAAACAUUUGGCUGAGUGUGUGUGUGUGAACAUGACAUUACUACUUUGUAUCAUCUCUCUGUCAAAGAAGAGGGGAAGACAUUGAGCCAUUGACCACCACUCUCUGGACUCAGUCCUGCAGCCAGUUCUUCUUCCACUGAACAGCCCACAGAUCAUAUCCAUUUAUUUCCAAAUUGGAGAUGAUUUCAGUGGCUCUUCUCUUGUCCACUAAUGCAGUGACACCAUCACAGAAGGCCACUAAAUUGGUUAAGCAAGAUUUGCCCUUGGUGAAACCAUGAUGGUUCUCCAGCAUCACCUUGCUGUCUUCCAUGUGCAUUAGCAUAGUGUCCAGAAGUUUCUGAGGGGUAUCACUGAGGGCAAUAGUUUGUUGCCAUGGUGCUCCAAGGCCCCAGAAAACCAGAGACUCUUCCAUGCAAGGAACCAUGCAAACCUGGAGCAUGAAAUAUUUCCAUAAUGUAAAGCAGAAAAAAACACAGGCUACAAAUGGAAACCUGAAGCACCCUAAAUGUCCAGCCAAAGCCAUAAUCUUGUUAUUCUGUGGAUAGUUGAAGAAGUGGAUACCCAGCAUUCCUCUGUGUGCACAGAAAAGACUGAUAUUUGUAAUAUUGUGGCAGGCAUUAAAUCAAAGCAAAUAAGGUAAGAACCUUACUUAUCAAUACACCACAGUAAACAAUUAUUUGUUUUCUUAUAAAAAAUUCUAACAAGUGCUAUAUAUGUGUGUGUGUUUAUAUGUAUGGUUAUUUAUUUAGUGUACCGGGGCUCUUAGAAUCAUUUGCUGGUCUUUAUAUACUUGCCAAUAAGAAGAGAAGCACAGAGACAUUUAGGGAAUUUUAUACUACAGGAAGAAUGAUUGAAGGGAUGUAAAUCCAUUUUAUGAUAUAGUACUAUUACUUUUGUUGCCCUAAAACUAAGCAGAGCAACGUACCUUUUCCAUAUCAACCACUUCAUCCUUCUUCAUCCUACCACAAAUGCCUUCACCAUUGCACAGAUGAAGUGCAAACUUCAGGAAUACCACGCUCCUCUUUGGACCAUAGCACCUGAAAGUUGAUAAGGAAUUAUAGACAAACGCCAACCAGGACUGCUAUCUCUGGAGAGCUAUUCUGAAACCAUUCUUGUAGAAAGAAAAAUCAGGCUAAAUCACAAAACAAGGAAAACAGAAGAGAAGGCAUGGAAAAGAUAAGCAGAAUCAAACUUCCUCCAGAUGUUCUCAAAUCCUUCCUGGUAGAUGUGUUGAAUGAAAGAUGUCUCUGUUCUCCCUUUGCAGCAGUUGAAUUAAUUCCUACACUCCAGACUAUCAAGACCUCCUCAUUCAUUACAUAGCCCUCCCAGUUCUUUCUGGAAAUCAGCUUUGCACUGUUAGGGACUAUUAAGUAAAUACAACAGGCAUCCCUGGCAUCACAGAAGCCCACUCCAUAUAGCAGCAACCACCCAGAAAGCAAACCAGAGGUGUUUUUCCUUCUCCCAGACUUCAGUACAUUAACAGAGAACAGCAUCAUAGAAGUGAUGAAAGAAAGUAGAGUCACCACACUUAAAUCAAACCAUAGCUGAUGAAAAAUACCUACAAGCACCAUUACUGACAGAAUUUGUCAACACUGCCAUGAGGUAGUUCUCAACAGAAGCUUGGCACCUCCUGGAAGUACUUUUUGGGCCUGACUGAUUCUAUAAAUUAUGCUUGGAUCCAAAGCACUUCUGAGUAACGUGAUUAUGAAGUAACCAGAGAAACACUUUAUUCAAAAUCUUUUGACAACUAGACAGGCCCCUGAGGAGCAGUUCAGGAGCUGUUCAAAGGGUGGAUGAUGAAACUUUUGAAAGAACUAAUGAGAAAUGGGUGAUCUGAGCAAAGGCAAAGUGGAAGUAGUAGAGAAUACCUAAGUAACAAACACAUAGAAAACAACCACACCACCUGCCUGUUCAUCAACAGAGUUUGCUCCAGCAGCAUCAGAAUAGAUUACAAUUCAGCAGGAUGUCUGGUUCCUCAAGGCCAUUUUGCUUGCUCAAAUGUUGAGCAUUAGAUAAAGAGUAGGUUCAGCCAAAGAGCUGCGAGCGCUGAGUGCUUAGCUUCUAAUGGCAGCUCCAAAAUGCAUUUAACACCCCAUGUCUGGAAGCAGGCAAAGGAAAAUGAGCCUCCUAGAUGAACAGAAAUAUUCCUACUGCAGCAUAGCUGACACUUUUCUUCCAAUGGUGCCAACUGUUCCUUGCUGUCUCACAGUGCAGUGGAUGUUCCAAAGGGUGGUAAAGAAAAUUGUUCAGGGAAGUACAGAUGACUUCAUCAUUAUACAUAUGUCUAAUGUAGAUGAUUUCAUCCCCCAAAAUAACCAGCCAUAGCAAAUAUUUUUAGCAAGUAAGGAAUGUUCCUGAAUACGGUGAUUGCAAGACAAAUGGCAUUAUAUUUAACAUAUGGGUUAUGUCAUUUCUGCUUCCUUAAAAUCCUUUCUCUUACAGCACAAAGUCUUACACAGGAGAACAGGCAAGGAUAAGAACUGUUCUUCUAGGAAAGUUAUGCUUUCUUGGGAUGACUACACUGAUGGUACAAAGAUAUGACAUUGCACUCCUUUUACUAACUUGGGAUCACAUCUGAUUUUCUCUUUCUUAAGUUGCAGAAAUAAAAUAAGUCUUUCAGAACACGUGUAUGUGUGAAAAAAAGGUAUUACUUGUUAUCAAAUGGUGUUCGUGUUUUCAGAAUAAGAAAUGAAAACAAAACACGAAGAGGUCAGCGUGCACAAAGUGGAAAGAUCCUUUCCCCUUACUUCUUGUGCCAGUGAAUCUUCAGAAUAUGACCUCUCAUCAUCAAAGUGGUCCCAACAGCUGCUGUUAUGACCUCUUCUGCAAGGUGACUCCAUCCUCUGGAGCAUUUAAUAUACCCUGGCAUGAAGACCAGCUUGUGAAUUCUUUCUGGAAGUCUCAUCCUCUUGUUCCUUGCCUACUUCUUAUCUGAACAGCUAAAUGUGCAGAGGUUUCCACAGCACCCAGGGUAUUGUCAGGUUAUUAUUACUUAUUACAUAAAGCCAGCUUCUGAGGUCAUUAUUCUGCUUCAGGAUCUGUUCCCACUGUGUACAUGGUAGCAGUUCUAAUCUUCUCUUAGGAGUGUUUUUGGGAACUACAAUGAGCUUUGAAGACUUAAGCCUCUAAAGAACACUGCCCACUUUAUUCAAGGAGAUAACAGAGAAGAGGAAGUUAAAACGAUAAAAUAAAAUAAAAUAAAAUAAAAUAAAAUAAAAUAAAAUAAAAUAAAAUAAAAUAAAAUAAAAUAAAAUAAAAUAAAAUAAAGAAGCAUGGGUCCCAGAAGUAGCAAGGAGCCUACUAUGAAUCCUUCACCAUCAUGGGUUUAAAUCAUUUCAACUUUCCACUGAACUCACAACUCUGGUAAUGUUGUUUUUUUAAUGGAAUGAAUUAUCUGAAAUGUUUUCUACAGUAGAUUUCCUAGUUUAAAUAUUUAAAAAUCGAUUAAGCUUCUUUCUGCUUGAAGAACUGGAUCCCUGCAUUAUUAAAAACAUUCCUUACACUCCUUGUCUUCACUUCCUUAUUUAGGUCAUUGGUUUGGGGUUCUUUUUUAUCUCCCUCAGCCUUCUUUGUUUUAAAUCUGACUCAAACUGAGCACUUAGGGAUGAAAGAUGACAGCAGAUUCUAUGCAGUCUCUCAGAUUUUAUCAAAAAAUUUGGUUAGACAAAUCUUGGUCUUCACGAGGAGAGCACGCCCCAUCAUGCUGAUUUAUGGCAGGUUCUGUGGGCAGUCAGAAGCACACAGAGAAAGAGUAAGAGCUGAUCGGUGCAUUUAUUCUUUACAACCCCUAAAAAAUAUUGUAUUUAAAAUAAGAAAUCUACCUACAGAGCAUACGGUAAAAAUCCUUCGUGACAGGAAGAAGGGAGAAAAAUGUUGGAGUUUCAGAAAGGCACAGAGGAUCACAGUGAUGAUGCCAAUACCAAGAAUGGAGACUGGAACAAUCAUUUCAUGAUGAUAAUUCACACACAGUUAGCCUCUUAAAAGGGCCUUCUUAAUGGUUGAUAAACACCAGUUACUAGCAGCCUUACAAUCUACCCAGUGCUGGAGCAACAAGAAGCUACUGUUGAAGAAGCUGUACGUUUUCUUCAUCACAAGGAACUGUCAUCUGAUGGCUCGAGCCAGGAAGAUGAAUCAGAUGUUCCUGCAGUCUGUUUCUGUCUUUGCGUGACUGAGGGAAAACCACUCAGCCUCCCUGUGAUGUGAUUUUCUCAGCCGUGGAAAAGGCAGAACUCUGUGUGGAACCUGUUUGUGUGGAGGGACAGACAGUGGCAAUGGCACAUUUUGCAAAGUGCCAAGUAGCAGAAUGGAGAGCUGCUUUCUUCAGUGCAUUUCUGUAAAGAUUCAGUCUGUUGCCUUAUCACUAGCAACUUUAUCUGCCAAACUCUGAAAUCAAUCACAUAAAGCCCACUGUGACCAUAAGCAUGUCUUUAUGAAGAUAAGCUUGGGGAAUGCUUCCAAAGGUAAGAGAAAGAAACUCCACCUUCAAUUGCAUGUCCUAGUUUUAUCUUUUUUGUCUCUUACUAGCAAUUUUAAAUUGGGAUUUUUUUCUAGAGAAAGGUAAAAGGUUCUUCCCUGCUAGGCUGCAUAUGCUGUAGCCUAUAUGGAUGCACUGACCUCUACACCCCUCCUUUAGUAGUGCAACUACAAGUAUCUGUGGCUCACUGUUUAGAAAUGGCUAUGAAAUUAAAAGCUGGGGCUGGAUGCUAGGAGGUUUUUUUGUUUGUAUUUGUGAUGGGCAAUUAUACUCACAGUUGUGUACGGCACAUCCAACCUGCAGGCCACAUGCAACCCAGCCCCUGCCCCACACCAUCAUGGCUAUAGCUCUGCCCUGCCAAGCAGCCCAGCCUGGCCCCAUUGCUCACAACAGCCAAACAGCAGCGCUUGAUCAGCACUGCCUGGGCUCAAAUCAAAGCAUGUGAAAGGCACGGUGCAGUGCCAGCUCAAGUUAUGGCAGAUUAUUCCACACACUGUGACACACUGAGCAGCAAAUAAUGUGCAGCCUUGGUUUCCAUUCUGAUAAAGGAAUUUGAGAAUAGGUUUCAAGAUUGAAAAAUAAAUAAAUAAAAA